This 95-nucleotide small RNA is filed under the name Pan troglodytes (chimpanzee). RNAcentral's name for it is "processed transcript". Lineage: Eukaryota; Metazoa; Chordata; Mammalia; Primates; Hominidae. The record is from RNAcentral.
UAGACAGUCAUGUUGCAAAGCCAUCGACUGGACAUCAUCCUUCAAGGUUCACUUUUUUUGUAGCGGGAAAGGAGGUGCUAAGACACUUAUGAACA